UGGUUAGAAGUACAAGAUUAAAAUCCAGUGUUAUAUGCUAUGAACAUGACUUUUUUAAUUUUUUACUUUUAUUAUUUAUUUGUUUGUUUUUAUUUUGUGUGUGUGUGUGUGUGUGUGUGUGUGUCUGUGCAUGCGCGCGCACGCGCGUGCUCACAUGCAUGCUGAGGAUUGAACUCAGGCCCUGCAUAUUCUGGGCCAGCAGGCACUCUACCACUGAUCUGUAGCCCAA
RNAcentral lists this small RNA (229 nucleotides) under Marmota monax (woodchuck). Lineage: Eukaryota; Metazoa; Chordata; Mammalia; Rodentia; Sciuridae. The record is from RNAcentral.